Molecule: ribosomal RNA, 515 nt
Filed under: Peribacillus asahii
Lineage: Bacteria; Bacillati; Bacillota; Bacilli; Caryophanales; Bacillaceae
Description: bacterial SSU rRNA
Rfam family: Bacterial small subunit ribosomal RNA
Source: RNAcentral
CUUCGGGUCGUAAAGCUCUGUUGUUAGGGAAGAACAAGUACGAGAGUAACUGCUCGUACCUUGACGGUACCUAACCAGAAAGCCACGGCUAACUACGUGCCAGCAGCCGCGGUAAUACGUAGGUGGCAAGCGUUGUCCGGAAUUAUUGGGCGUAAAGCGCGCGCAGGCGGUCCUUUAAGUCUGAUGUGAAAGCCCACGGCUCAACCGUGGAGGGUCAUUGGAAACUGGGGGACUUGAGUGCAGAAGAGGAGAGUGGAAUUCCACGUGUAGCGGUGAAAUGCGUAGAGAUGUGGAGGAACACCAGUGGCGAAGGCGACUCUCUGGUCUGUAACUGACGCUGAGGCGCGAAAGCGUGGGGAGCAAACAGGAUUAGAUACCCUGGUAGUCCACGCCGUAAACGAUGAGUGCUAAGUGUUAGAGGGUUUCCGCCCUUUAGUGCUGCAGCUAACGCAUUAAGCACUCCGCCUGGGGAGUACGGCCGCAAGGCUGAAACUCAAAGGAAUUGACGGGGGCCC